Molecule: long non-coding RNA, 1093 nt
Organism: Daphnia magna
Lineage: Eukaryota; Metazoa; Arthropoda; Branchiopoda; Diplostraca; Daphniidae
Exons: 2
Source: RefSeq, a predicted model, not a curated record
UUUGUUUUCAUUUAUUCUAUUGUAUUUUCGACAGAAUCUCAUCAAUAUAUUUAUCUUCCACGAUGACAUCUGUUCAUUGUAUCAUCGUCGUCGCUCUUGCAAUCUCUACGAAUUGUUGCGAAUUGUACAUUUCAGAAAACGGCGAUCUAUUCGAGAUGACCGAGUCGACAUCAACCUAUGUCACAGUAUUUCCGUCGAAUCUAAUAUUUCCAAGACAAGGACAGUAUCAUCCUUGCCAUCGUCCUCGUCUUCUCAAUUUUUAUUUUGGCUGCUACAAUUUGGUAUCUGUGUUAAAAAUACGCAAAUACAGGUCACGGAUUUCGAAUUCAAACCAAUCCUUUCACAUUUCUAACUGUACCUCCAGCCAUAGCCUUCUCUAUUAGAGAAAGCCGAAAGGAACGCUAUCCCUUGCAUGUGGGAAAAGUGAAGCACAUUUUUCUCACCUUUCCUCCCAUUCCCUUCCUCCAAGGGUACCCACGGGAGCCAUCUGGUGAUAAAAAUGAUGUAGGGGGGAGGGGGAGAAUCACCCGGAUUUAUGAGCGGUAAUUUAUGAACGCCCCAUUUAUAUUUUGCCGUGAGGGAUUUUAAUGACGAUGUUACACGGAAUGGCAUGCAUUCCUGUUUAUUGCAUAUGUUCAUUCGCAGCCAUUCAACACGUGCAGCCGUACAAUAAAAUUUUUUUGUCUAUGGCUCGGCGAGAAUGGGCAUAACAUGUGUAAUUGAGGGAUGCCUCAUUCAUUCCAGAAGGAAUGAAUUCAUAUCGAUCGAAAAGUUAACUUUUAAAAAUCGCCACUAGGCGAUAAAACGGCUCCCAUGGGUACACUUGAAGGAUGGGCAAAAUUGGAGGCAGGGAAGCCAAAAUUGCUUCAAAAAAAAGCCCCAACCUUUCGGCUUUCUUAAUAGAGAAGGCUAUGCUCCAGCCCGCCAAUAUCAAGCACCGGCACAAACAUGGAUUGAACACGAAAUUUGAAAGCACUUUGUUACAUUUUGAUGUAUUUUAAAGAUCCUGAUAUGUUCCGUCAAAUGUUAACCGCGAUAAUGAAUUUGCCUUACUAAUACAUGAAUAAAAAAUAAAAUUUCAAAGUUUAAAAUA